GGAGGGGUGUCUGAGCGGUUGAAAGAGCCGGUCUUGAAAACCGGUGAACCUUUACGGGUUCCGUGAGUUCGAAUCUCACCCCCUCCGCCA
This 90-nucleotide transfer RNA is filed under the name Deltaproteobacteria bacterium. RNAcentral describes it as "tRNA-Ser". It matches the Rfam family "tRNA". Rfam says of the family: Transfer RNA (tRNA) molecules are approximately 80 nucleotides in length. Lineage: Bacteria; Pseudomonadati; Myxococcota; Myxococcia. The record is from RNAcentral.